RNAcentral lists this ribosomal RNA (449 nucleotides) under uncultured Eubacteriales bacterium. Its description in RNAcentral is "bacterial SSU rRNA". It matches the Rfam family "Bacterial small subunit ribosomal RNA", at positions 924 to 1382 of the family's 1533-position model. Lineage: Bacteria; Bacillati; Bacillota; Clostridia; Eubacteriales. The record is from RNAcentral.
CACAAGCAGCGGAGCAUGUGGUUUAAUUCGAAGCAACGCGAAGAACCUUACCUAGACUUGACAUCUCCUGAAUUACCCGUAACUGGGAAGCUCUUCGGAGCAGGAAGACAGGUGGUGCAUGGUUGUCGUCAGCUCGUGUCGUGAGAUGUUGGGUUAAGUCCCGCAACGAGCGCAACCCUUGCCAUUAGUUGCUACGAAAGGGCACUCUAAUGGGACUGCCGGUGACAAACCGGAGGAAGGUGGGGAUGACGUCAAGUCCUCAUGGCCCUUAUAGGUGGGGCUACACACGUCAUACAAUGGCCGGUACAGAGGGUAGCCAACCCGCGAGGGGGAGCCAAUCCCACAAAGCCGGUCGUAGUCCGGAUCGCAGUCUGCAACUCGACUGCGUGAAGUCGGAAUCGCUAGUAAUCGCGGAUCAGCAUGUCGCGGUGAAUACGUUCCCGGGUCUU